This 441-nucleotide ribosomal RNA is filed under the name uncultured bacterium. RNAcentral's name for it is "partial 16S ribosomal RNA". It matches the Rfam family "Bacterial small subunit ribosomal RNA", at positions 338 to 795 of the family's 1533-position model. The record is from RNAcentral.
CCUACGGGGGGCAGCAGUGGGGGAUAUUGCACAAUGGGGGGAACCCUGAUGCAGCGACGCCGCGUGGGUGAAGGAGUGCUUCGGCAUGUAAAGCCCUAUCGGCAGGGAAGAAGCAAGACGGUACCUGACUAAGACGCCCCGGCUAACUACGGGCCAGCAGCCGCGGUAAUACGUAGGGGGCGAGCGUUAUCCGGAUUCACUGGGGGUAAAGGGAGCGUAGACGGUCAUGCAAGGCAGGGGUGAAAGCCCGGGGCCUAACCCCGGGACUGCCCUGGAAACUGGAAGGCUGGAGUGCGGGAGGGGUAGGCGGAAUUCCUGGUGUAGCGGUGAAAUGCGUAGAUAUCAGGAGGAACACCGGCGGCGAAGGCGGCCUGCUGGAUCGCGACUGACGUUGAGGCUCGAAAGCGUGGGGAGCGAACAGGAUUAGAUACCCGUGUAGUC